UAGAGAGGUCUCAAGCGUUGUUCGGAUUCAUUGGGCGUAAAGGGUGCGUAGGCGGCGUGGUAAGUCGGGUGUGAAACCUCUAGGCUUAACCUAGAGCCUGCAGGCGAAACUGCCGUGCUUGAGGGUGGGAGAGGUGCGUGGAAUUCCCGGUGUAGCGGUGAAAUGCGUAGAUAUCAGGAGGAACACCUGUGGCGAAAGCGGCGCACUGGACCACAUCUGACGCUGAGGCGCGAAAGCUAGGGGAGCCAACAGG
This 253-nucleotide ribosomal RNA is filed under the name uncultured bacterium. RNAcentral's name for it is "partial 16S ribosomal RNA". It matches the Rfam family "Bacterial small subunit ribosomal RNA", at positions 524 to 776 of the family's 1533-position model. The record is from RNAcentral.